This 253-nucleotide ribosomal RNA is filed under the name uncultured bacterium. RNAcentral's name for it is "partial 16S ribosomal RNA". It matches the Rfam family "Bacterial small subunit ribosomal RNA", at positions 524 to 776 of the family's 1533-position model. The record is from RNAcentral.
GACAGAGGUGGCAAGCGUUGUUCGGAUUCAUUGGGCGUAAAGAGCGCGCAGGCGGCUUGGUAAGUCGGAUGUGAAAUCCCGAGGCUCAACCGCGGGCCUGCAGCCGAUACGGGCAGGCUGGAGUUCGGUAGGGGAGACUGGAAUUCCUGGUGUAGCGGUGAAAUGCGCAGAUAUCAGGAGGAACACCGAUGGCGAAGGCAGGUCUCUGGGCCGAUACUGACGCUGAGGAGCGAAAGCGUGGGGAGCGAACAGG